CUGGCGCGGGCGCAGGGCUGGCUGGCGGUUGAGACCGCGGCGGUACUGGGAGUGGCUGGUGAGGGUCGCGAGGCUGCCUGAGCUUCUGCGUGAGCAUGGCGCUUUUGGAACGUGGGACUGGCGACCUGCUGCGCCAGGAGCUGGGCCGAGGCGCGGAGGCGCGGCUGCCGGUUGCUCUCUGGAUGGGAAGUUACCACGAAGUCCACCCAGCGUUUCCGAGGCAAUCUGAAGGCAAAUCCUGUUUUGACCCAGGCGAAGGUUCCUGGUGAUCCAGGCUCUCCCCAGCCGAUUGUCCCUUCCUGUCUUCCUGAGGGUGUCUGGAGCUUCAGUGUUGUGUGCUCUUGGCCUCCACGCUGGGGUGCCACCGACUCCCACUGUCCAGGGCUUCCGGUGGACUCUCCGAGUCACUGAUGCAGAAACUUCCCCAUUCGGUGCACCAAGAGCAGCCUCACACGGUGUGGGCCGACAUGAAGAGCUGCCAGAUCCAACAGAAAUGUGAUUGAUAACAGUAAAGCCGCACUCCCCACAUGCCUGAAAUAUCCCUCAUUGUCUUCUUCAGGUGGCAAGGGCUCUGGAACAGCCACAUAAAGGUGAGGACAAUUUUUUUUUCAUUGAUUGAUUGGUUGGUUGAUUUUUUUUCUGUUUGAGGGGUUAGCAUCCAUGUAUCUGAAGUUGAAAUUCAAGAGGAGAGACAGACACCUGUACUAGUUUUCUCUUGCUGCCAAUGAUCACAUUACCAGAAAUCAGUGGUUUGAAACCACAGAAGUCUGGAAUGAAGUGGCCGGG
This is a long non-coding RNA of Cercocebus atys (sooty mangabey), 786 nucleotides long. RefSeq lists it as uncharacterized. The transcript has 3 exons. NCBI's taxonomy places the organism in Eukaryota, Metazoa, Chordata, Mammalia, Primates, Cercopithecidae. The record is from RefSeq and is a predicted model, not a curated record.